This 768-nucleotide ribosomal RNA is filed under the name Triticum aestivum (bread wheat). RNAcentral describes it as "partial small subunit ribosomal RNA". Lineage: Eukaryota; Viridiplantae; Streptophyta; Magnoliopsida; Poales; Poaceae. The record is from RNAcentral.
AUGACCCGCUGUCUUUGGCGCAUCGCCAAUGGGGAAGGAGGCCUCUGGCUCACCAUCAUCUGUAAUAAGUACCUUAGGGGCCAACCCCUUGCCUUCUGCCAGCGAUCGGGUGGCUCCCAGUUUUGGCAGUCGGUGAUCCAGCUCCUGCCCGUCCUCCGCAUUGGCACGUCCAUCUCGGUUGGCUCCGGGUCCUCGACCUUGUUCUGGUUUGACCGGUGGUUAGGGGACUCCCCCCUCGCGGCGCGAUUCCCCGACCUAUUCGCCAUUGUGGUUGACCCUCGGGUCUCUAUCAAGAUGGCCCUUAUUGACUUAGGGUGCCUCGCUUUCCGACGCCCCUUCAACCCCCUUGAGGUGGCUGCUUGGGACUCCCUCCUCCAGGACAUCGCCCUUCUGCUGAUGGACGUCGAGGAGACCCUAGAUUCCCUCUCCUGCCGCCUCGAGCCAUCAGGUUGCUUCUCCACGAAGUCCCUGUACGCCGCCAUUGCUCCCUCGGACAUCCGCCUGCCUCUGAAGAUCAGGAUUUUCCUGUGGCAAUGGAUUCAUGGAUGCCUCCCCUGGGUUGUAACCCUCAAGCGUAAUGGACUGGGCAAUGGGAUGUGCCCCAUUUGUGGCACGAUUGAAGAUGCCAACCACAUCUUCUUCUCGUGCUCCACUGCCCAGUUCCUCUGGGCUUGCUUCCACGAGGUGGUUGGUGGACAGUGGUGCAACACCAACUUCCACGACUUACUUGCAGAGCUGAACGCUCCCCCCUCGCUACCGCCAUAUUAG